RNAcentral lists this signal recognition particle RNA (279 nucleotides) under Aotus nancymaae (Ma's night monkey). Its description in RNAcentral is "Metazoan signal recognition particle RNA (ENSANAG00000012315.1)". It matches the Rfam family "Metazoan signal recognition particle RNA". From Rfam's summary of the family: The signal recognition particle (SRP) is a universally conserved ribonucleoprotein. It is involved in the co-translational targeting of proteins to membranes. Lineage: Eukaryota; Metazoa; Chordata; Mammalia; Primates; Aotidae. The record is from RNAcentral.
GCAGGGUGAGGUGGCGCAUGCCUGUAGUCCCAGCUACUCAAGAGGCUGAGGCUGGAGAGGAGUUCUGGGCUGUAGCCCGCUAUGCCGAUCGGGUAUCCGCACUUAGUUUGGCAUCAAUAUGGUGACCUCCUGAGAACAGGGUAUCACCAGGUUGCCUAAGGAGGGGUGAACUUGCCCAGGUUGGAAGCGGAGCAGGUCAAAACUCCCGUGCUAAUCAGUAGUGGGAUCGAGCCUGUGCAUAGCUACUGCACUCCAGCCUGAGCAACAUAGCGAGACCCU